RNAcentral lists this unclassified non-coding RNA (130 nucleotides) under soil metagenome. Its description in RNAcentral is "partial internal transcribed spacer 1". The record is from RNAcentral.
CCGAGUGAGGGCCUCCGGGCCCGACCUCCAACCCUUUGUGAACACACCCGUUGCUUCGGGGGCGACCCUGCCGUUUCGACGGCGAGCGCCCCCGGAGGUCUUCCAACACUGCAUCUGCGGAGUACGAAUG